Molecule: ribosomal RNA, 151 nt
Filed under: Sphenodon punctatus (tuatara)
Lineage: Eukaryota; Metazoa; Chordata; Lepidosauria; Sphenodontia; Sphenodontidae
Description: 5.8S ribosomal RNA (ENSSPUG00000013647.1)
Source: RNAcentral
CACAUUUUGGGAGCUGACUUGGUUUACAUGUCCAUUAAGAAUGCAGCUUGCUGUAGGAGUUAUCGUGAAUGGCAGGACACACUGAUCACUGACAGUUUGACUCCACUUGUGCCUCUGGGUCCAUUUCAAGGCUAUGCAUAUCUGAGUGUUG